This 465-nucleotide ribosomal RNA is filed under the name uncultured bacterium. RNAcentral describes it as "partial 16S ribosomal RNA". It matches the Rfam family "Bacterial small subunit ribosomal RNA", at positions 338 to 795 of the family's 1533-position model. The record is from RNAcentral.
CCUACGGGUGGCAGCAGUGGGGAAUAUUGCGCAAUGGGCGAAAGCCUGACGCAGCGAAGCCGCGUGAGGGAUGAAGGUCUUCGGAUCGUAAACCCCUGUCAGCAGGGAAGAACGGUCACUGUGCUAAUCAGCAGUGAAUUGACGGUACCUGCAAAGGAAGCACCGGCCAACUCCGUGCCAGCAGCCGCGGUAAUACGGAGGGUGCGAGCGUUAAUCGGUAUUACUGGGCGUAAAGCGCUCGUAGGCGGUAUGUCAAGUCAAGGGUGAAAUCCCCGCGCUCAACGUGGGAACUGCCUUUGAAACUGGCAGACUUGAGUUUGUGAGAAGAUAGUGGAAUGCCAGGUGUAGGAGUGAAAUCCGUAGAUAUCUGGAGGAACAUCAGUGGCGAAGGCGACGAUCUGGCACAUGACUGACGCUGAGGAGCGAAAGCGUGGGUAGCAAACAGGAUUAGAUACCCGUGUAGUC